RNAcentral lists this ribosomal RNA (258 nucleotides) under uncultured bacterium. RNAcentral describes it as "partial 16S ribosomal RNA". It matches the Rfam family "Bacterial small subunit ribosomal RNA", at positions 15 to 283 of the family's 1533-position model. The record is from RNAcentral.
AAUCCUGGCUCAGAACGAACGCUGGCGGCAGGCUUAACACAUGCAAGUUGAACGGGAUUUGUGUGGUGCUUGCACCAUAUAAUGAGAGUAGCGCACUGGUGAGUAACACGUGGGAACGUACCUUUUGGUGGGGGACAACAUCUGGAAACGGAUGCUAAUACCGCAUAAGACCUGAGGGUGAAAGAUUUAUCGCCGAAAGAACGGCCCGCGGAAGAUUAGGCAGUUGGUGGGGUAAAGGCCUACCAAACCUACGAUCUA